This 478-nucleotide ribosomal RNA is filed under the name Acromantis insularis. RNAcentral's name for it is "partial 16S ribosomal RNA". It matches the Rfam family "Bacterial large subunit ribosomal RNA", at positions 1835 to 2574 of the family's 2925-position model. The record is from RNAcentral. Lineage: Eukaryota; Metazoa; Arthropoda; Insecta; Mantodea; Hymenopodidae.
AAAUAUAUUUAUGAAAUUUGGCCUGCCCACUGAAGUUUUUAAAGGGCCGCAGUAUUUUGACUGUGCAAAGGUAGCAUAAUCAUUAGUCUUUUAAUUGAAGGCUGGUAUGAAUGGUUGGAUGAGGUGAAUUCUGUUUUAUGUUAAUUUUAAUUGAAUUUAGAUUUUAAGUAAAAAGACUUAAAUAUGAUUAAGGGACGAGAAGACCCUAUAGAGUUUAAUAAAUGAACCAAAUAAUUGAGUUAAUUAAGAAUUUUUGAUUAUUGUUAAAUUUAUUUAAUUGGGGUGAUUAAAAGAUAAGUUGAACUCUUUUUUAAGUUUAAUAAUAUAAUUAGUUAUAUGAUCCAUAAUUAAUGAUUAGAAGAUUAAAUUACCUUAGGGAUAACAGCAUAAUUUUUUUUGAGAGUUCAUAUCGAAAGAAAAGAUUGUGACCUCGAUGUUGGAUUAAGAUAAGUUUUAGGUGUAGGUGUUUAUAAACUAG